AGCGAUGAACCGCCGCCGCGUUGCUAUGGGGAAGCCGUAGUAAUGAGGAAAGUCCGGGCUCCGCAGGGCAUGAUGCCGGUUAAUGGCCGGGGAUUUUGGUGUUUGAACGCCGGAGUCACAGAAAGCGCAACAGAAAAUAUACCGCCGCCCGUUUUUUAGCGGACGGUAAGGGUGAAAUGGCGGGGUAAGAGCCCGCCGCGGAAUUGGCGACAAUUCCGGCAUGGCAAGCCUCAUCAGGAGCAAAGCUAAACAGCGGUUGAGCGCCCACUCAAUAACCGCGGGUAGGCUGCAUGGAAACUUCCGGUAACGGAAAGUUCAAGAUAGAUGGCGGCGGCUUUUUUGCAAGGAAGCGAUUCCCGCAAAAAAGACACAGAAUCCGGCUUACGGUUCAUCGCUUUUU
RNAcentral lists this RNase P RNA (400 nucleotides) under Spirochaetaceae bacterium. RNAcentral describes it as "RNase P RNA component class A". It matches the Rfam family "Bacterial RNase P class A". From Rfam's summary of the family: Ribonuclease P (RNase P) is a ubiquitous endoribonuclease, found in archaea, bacteria and eukarya as well as chloroplasts and mitochondria. Its best characterised activity is the generation of mature 5'-ends of tRNAs by cleaving the 5'-leader elements of precursor-tRNAs. Cellular RNase Ps are ribonucleoproteins. The record is from RNAcentral. Lineage: Bacteria; Pseudomonadati; Spirochaetota; Spirochaetia; Spirochaetales; Spirochaetaceae.